This 593-nucleotide ribosomal RNA is filed under the name Cephalobidae environmental sample. Its description in RNAcentral is "SSU rRNA". It matches the Rfam family "Eukaryotic small subunit ribosomal RNA", at positions 1024 to 1643 of the family's 1831-position model. Lineage: Eukaryota; Metazoa; Nematoda; Chromadorea; Rhabditida; Cephalobidae. The record is from RNAcentral.
UUCUGACCGUAAACGAUGCCAACUAGCGAUCCGCCGGUGGAUUUUUAGCCCUGGUGGGUAGCUUCCCGGAAACGAAAGUCUUCCGGUUCCGGGGGAAGUAUGGUUGCAAAGCUGAAACUUAAAGGAAUUGACGGAAGGGCACCACCAGGAGUGGAGCCUGCGGCUUAAUUUGACUCAACACGGGGAAACUCACCCGGCCCGGACACCGUAAGGAUUGACAGAUUGAUAGCUCUUUCAUGAUUCGGUGGUUGGUGGUGCAUGGUCGUUCUUAGUUCGUGGAUCGAUUUGUCUGGUUUAUUCCGAUAACGAGCGAGACUCUAGCCUACUAAAUAGUAACGAGAUUAUCAAUGUCUCAGUUGCUUCUUAGAGGGAUUUUCGGUGUUUAGCCGCACGAGAUUGAGCAAUAACAGGUCUGUGAUGCCCUUAGAUGUCCGGGGCUGCACGCGCGCUACACUGGCGAAAUCAACGUGCUGUAUCCAUUCUCGAAAGGGAUUGGUAAACCCAUGAAAAUUUGCCGUGCUUGGGAUCGGAAAUUGCAAUUAUUUUCCGUGAACGAGGAAUUCCAAGUAAGUGCGAGUCAUCAACUCGCUCUG